Molecule: ribosomal RNA, 325 nt
Filed under: uncultured eukaryote
Lineage: Eukaryota
Description: partial 18S ribosomal RNA
Rfam family: Eukaryotic small subunit ribosomal RNA
Source: RNAcentral
CCCUUAGAUGUUCUGGGCCGCACGCGCGCUACACUGACUGCUCCAACAAGUUACCUGGGCUGACAAGCAUCCGGGAAAUCUUGCAAAGGCAGUCGCGAUGGGGAUAGAUUCUUGUAAUUUUUGAUCUUCAACGAGGAAUUCCUAGUAAACACAAGUCAUCAGCUUGCAUUGAUUACGUCCCUGCCCUUUGUACACACCGCCCGUCGCAUCUACCGAUUGAAUGGAGAGGCAAAAUCUUCGGACCGUGACGCUUGGGAGUCAAAUCUCGGGCUGUCGUGGGAAGUGGAUUAAACCUUUCUAUUUAGAGGAAGGUAAAGUCGUAACA